RNAcentral lists this ribosomal RNA (337 nucleotides) under uncultured bacterium. RNAcentral's name for it is "partial 16S ribosomal RNA". It matches the Rfam family "Bacterial small subunit ribosomal RNA", at positions 338 to 690 of the family's 1533-position model. The record is from RNAcentral.
CCUACGGGUGGCAGCAGUGGGGAAUAUUGGGCAAUGGGCGCAAGCCUGACCCAGCAACGCCGCGUGAAGGAAGAAGGCUUUCGGGUUGUAAACUUCUUUUAUCAGGGAAGAGUAUAAGACGGUACCUGACGAAUAAGCCACGGCUAACUACGUGCCAGCAGCCGCGGAAAUACGUAGGUGGCAAGCGUUGUCCGGAUUUACUGGGUGUAAAGGGCGUGUAGCCGGGGUGACAAGUCAGAUGUGAAAUCCUGCGGCUUAACCGCGGAACUGCAUUGGAAACUGUUGAUCUUGAGGACUGGAGAGGCAGACGAAAUUCCUGGUGUGGCGGGGAAAUGCG